Long non-coding RNA from Pseudopipra pipra, 10559 nucleotides. RefSeq lists it as uncharacterized. Lineage: Eukaryota; Metazoa; Chordata; Aves; Passeriformes; Pipridae. The transcript is spliced from 2 exons. The record is from RefSeq and is a predicted model, not a curated record.
AGAAUUACAGUGAACAAUACAGGUUGUCAAAGAUGGCAUCUCAAAAGGUCCAAAAUACUCCUCAGAAUGGGUUGUGGUUACCCAACAGUUUCCUCAAGAAAAGCAGGGACUUAAUUAAAAAAAAAAUAAAUGCUUUUCAUAUACUCAAAUAUUUAAUUUUUGUAUUAGUGAAGUCAGUCAGUCUGGUUUGUUUCCAGUUUUAAGAUGUGUCAAGAGGAUUAAAAAUUAACCCCCCACCCACCAUUUUGAAUUGCAAAAAGGAGCUAUUAUUUUAAAUCCUAGUUGAGAAAAUGAGCUAACAUAUUUUACUUAUUUAGAAAAGCUGUGUUUUACUACAAAUGUUUAAAGUAAUGAAUUUGUUCUUUUGAGAAAUCCUGUAUUCUGAAAUUAAAACUGCCAUUUAAUUUUCAGUUGGAAUAUUUUAUUGCUGCAGUUGUAGAACAGAGGUAGUUAGCUGGGAUCCAUGUUAAAACCUAUUUAGUCAAAAUAUUAGAAGACUGAAGUGGGUUCAGAUUGCAUUAGAGAGCACUUGCCAUGUUCAAGAUUAUUGGCAGAGAAAAGAAGAAUCAAAAAUAAGUAAUAUUCUGUCAGUAUUCUCAGUUGUAAGAUUUAGGCAUUAUUAUUUUAUGUACUUCAAAUCAUUUGUUCUUCUGUAGUUAGUCAUGUGUGUUUAGCUUUAUGCAAACUGAGUAAGAACAUUUAAAGAAAGUAGUGCUUUCUGGUGGAAUGUUUUUCUGUGCUUUAAAGUUAUGGGGGAUAAUUGGAGUGUAUUUUAAGACCAGCAGUAUUUGGUAACUCUGUAAUAAUUACAUUAAUGUCUCCUAGUUUUUGCUCUUCUCACUAGCCAGCCCUUGAAAAGAAAUAUUUUGUGUGCACGUUUCUGUUGUCUGCCUUGUGUCACAAAAUGCAUGUAAAAAGCUACCAAGUCUGACACCUACUUUGUCUCCAGUGUUUUCCUUGUGUAAAUGACUUCCCAGCUGCAUGGAAAUAGAAAAAAUAUCUCUUGUUUCAAACAAAAGUUUUGGCUUUCUGGAGGUUAUUCUUGAAGUCAGUGGAAGGGAACCCAACUGGACUUGUUUUAUGUGAGAUGAACUGGCGUGAGAAAGUCUCAGAGAUGAACUUAGCUCUCCUUUUUUUGGUGAAAGUUUCUGGCAAGCAAAAUGCAUAGAUGAAAUUAAAUUACCUCUCCACCCCCUGAUUUAUGUAUCAGAGAUUUUGCCAAGCACUUGUUUUCAUCCAGUUUUAUGAACAACAUUGAAGUUUCCACUGUCUCAAAGUUCUGAGACCAAGCUUUUGUCUCUUUGAUAGCUGAAGUAAAAGGAGGCACUGUUCUAAUUAUGAAUGAAGAAUUUAAAAUUUAACAUUAAAAAGGCAAAAUAGGAACCCAGUUACAAGACAGUAAGCUUUGUUGAAUACACUUUUGUAUUGCAAUAUUUUAGAAAAAUCACUCACUAAAGAUUUUUUUUAACAGAGAAGCAUAAGAAGAUAAUUCCCUUUUUUGACACGCUUUACCUUUGCAAAGUUACUGGGCUGUUGACAGGUACAACAAGACAUGUGCUAUGCUUACAUGCUAUUAGUGCAGCAGGCUUUGAAAAAUGUCUAAUGCAUUGGCAUAUCUGACAAUUUAGGGUAUUAGUUAACAGUGAGACUCUGUAAAUAGAGUGAAUUUUAGCUACAACUGCUGACUUGGGCAUUCAGUCAACAUUUGCAGUACAGGGCUGAACAACAAAUAAUGUCAUUUUAUACUAUGGAGAUGGAAGUUGGCGUUAUACAGUGUGUAUGGUUCAGCCUUAGAGCAAUGGUAAUUGCAAUGUAUUGAAGUUUUGCAUUGUAAUAAAAAUAGAGACCAUUAGUGGAUACCAUUUAUGUCAUUAGUAUUUAGUGGCUGUGUGUUGCAGCUUUUUUAGUGCUCAUAAAACUGUCUCUGCUUGCAGAUAUGUGACAGCACUGAUACAAAUUUAAAUGUUUAGAAAUCCAUAAGACAUAAAAUAUAGAUAGUAAAUAGGGGCAUAACAUUAUAGACAGAACCUUAAUAAUUUGGCACACAAAUGUUUAUAUAUUUGCAUGUCUAGUGCAGAAAUUAGCAUAAUGAUGUUCAUGUUUAUACUACAGAAGAACUUGAUUAAACAAAGAAUAAAAAAUGAGUUAAAACUGAGGCAAAUCAUGCAAAAGCAGCAAAGAAUAUUUUCAGGUCCCCAAAAGGGAAUUUGUGAUGUUGGAAGGUACAUCCUUUACAUACAUCUGGUGGGAUAUUGAUUUUUCUCUUUGUAGACUUUUUACUAGUUACAGCACCUGUUCCACUAACUAGCAUUACAGUUGUUCUUAGGAAGUGAUUAUGUUAAUUAACUAAUAAAAAGGAAAAUAAGGUUGUUAGGUAACCCUAAGAUAGAGAUUGGCUGGCACUAAUUUAACAGUAUAGGGAAGGUCAUAUGAUAUCUAGCCCAAAACAGCAAUGUCUUGUCAGAAUUGGAGGCUGCUGUGAGGGCAGUGAAGGAGCUGACUGGGAAAAGACUUCUUUGGAGCAUGGGGUGGGAAGAAGUCCAGGAAUAUAGCACAGGAGGUUUCCUGAAAUUCCAAGCAUUAUACAUGAGACACAUGUGCAAGCCACAGUUUGGGCUUCCGAGUGAUUUUUAUUCAAGAAAUUUGGAAGCCUGUUUGAUUUCCAUGCAGAAGAUCUCUGAGAAAGCUGUCUUCUUCCUUUGAUUUAAGGAAUGUCACUUGGAUUCUGCUGGCAGCUACUCUUAACUUCUUUAAGAGGUUCCUUUAAGAUUUUCCUAUAAGAGACUCCCCUUUGUGCUUUACUGACCCUGGUUUCUGUGUCAGUGACGGAUUUGAAGCAAGAGAUUCUGAGACUUGUCCUCUGCACACCCCAUCCCCACUGUCUUCAGCUCUGACCUUUACAUCCUGGAAACACCCUGGAGGUUUGUCACAGAGCUCUCAGGGGAUUUGGAAAUCAAAUUAUACAGCACUAAGGGAGAACACAGAAAACUAUAAAAACACUUCAGUCAUUAGGAGUGAAGUGACAGGAAGCAGUGUUAGAGAAUGAAUCUUUCCAAUUAAUUUUCCUUUCAGGGCCCUUUUCCCAACAUUUUUAAUUCUAAGUGUGUAUGAAAUCUUUGGCAACAUUACUUGUGUGUUUCAAAAGAAGAGGAAACCUUUGAUAAACCUUCUGAAUCUCUUGACUUAACAAUGAUAGCACCGUGAUUAUUUUGAAUCCUUUUAGUUGGGAAAGGUGAUAGUGGGAAUGUACAUUUGCAGAAAAUUUGUGGCUUACAUUAAUAGUUGUUAAGGUUAUAACAUGAGAUGCUUUUCAGAAGCUCAAAUAAUAAGCAGAAGCAAAACAAGCUUUCUGUACAGUGAAUAUAAAUUAUUCUUUCUGUCGCUCCUAGUAUUUCUUACAAUCUAAUUCUGGAAAGUGUUAAACUGGAAAUCAUAUUGCUCCUUUUAAAAACAUAUUUUUGUCUGUUUAUCCGUUCAAACCAGACCAAAAUGUAAAUCUGUAAAAUGCUUUCCAUCUUCAAAGCAGCUAUUUAUAUGCAUCUAAAUUCUGAAAUCUUUUUGAAACUUUCGGUUUUAUUUCUGAUUGUGGGAUUCAGUGUCACUUCUUAGCACAUUGAGUACUGAUGGCUUUGAACACACAGUAUGGCACAAAGCGAUAACUUGUGCACACUACCCUGCUGAGAGACAAUUCUAAAGGAAAAGUGAUUUUUAUGCUGGGGUUUUGUCUGAUUUUAGAAUUAGGGGAAAUAUUAAAGAGCAUAACAAAAUAUUUUAAUUCCUCUAUACACCACUAAAUUACUUGUUACCUUAUUUAUCCAAGUAACAGCUACCUGAGAGCAGAGGCUGCUUUCUGAAGCCAUUCUCUACAUAGAAUUGUACUAAAACCACUAAAUCAUGAAGUGAACAGACAAGUUUUGCAGUGAAGAGUGUUAUUGACUGGGUCUGUGGACACUUACCAAAAACAUAUGUAAAGGGAGAAGAAUAUUAGAGUGCUAUAAGAAAAAUGGACUCCCUAAAAUCUAUUCUGUCAUAAGGUAGAAGGAAGAAGACUGGGUUUCUGGCAAAACCUGGGUGAACCUGAAAUCAUGCCAUACUUCGAGGUAUUUCUACUGGAAUAAUUGUAGUAACUGUAGUUACCAUAAAACCUGAUACUAAAUCUGAGUGUAUCAUAUUUCCUUGAGCAGGACAAGCAGAUGUAAUAUUUUGAAUUGGACAUGAAUGUUGAAUUGGUGGUACUUGAAAGUACCUAUAGGACUCUCUAAAACAUAUUUUCUUGAUAAUGUGUUUUCCUGUAUUUUUUGUAAUCUCUAUUUUUUAAGUUCAUUUUUUUUCUGACUUCUAGAUGAUUCUUGGUAUCCAGCUGCUCUCUUGUACUUCCUUGUAUCUUGCUUGUAGGCGGUGUAUCAUCCCAAAUUCUUAUGGGGCAUUCAGCUGCACUAGAUUGCCCAAAUUACCACAGGUCACAGCUGAAAUGCAUUAGUGGAAUUAAAUAGGAAAGCUUGCCCAGUAUUGACUCUGCUGUUCUUACUGCUUCUUAUUGCUUUCAUGAGAAGAGUGGAAGAUUAUUGAAAGACAUAUUUAUAAAAGAUACAGUGCAGUGCAGCUACACUGCAGGUUUAUGCCAAAUUAGGUCUUGAACCUGAAUGAAUUCAGGCAUCUGCUGCAUUUCAGAUUACAGUUCACUGUGUGACCUCACACAUGUAGGUUGGCCUCCUCCUGGUUUGUUUAACCCAUCCACAAAAUUGAGAAAAACAGGUAACUCCAUGAAAAAACAGGUGUGCAUCUGGGCACAACUGUCCUGGGUAAAUAGAUUACAAAGAAGGCAGAGGCUCAAAUGAAGGGAUAAUAAAGAGGAAAUUUGUCUCCUACACACCUUUAUCAUUAACUUAGUGGUGCACUGUGUUUACAUUUAUUGGGCGUGUUUAGUCUCACUGGACUUCCAGCAGAACAGAUCUGAGGUCAUUGUCUUUUCCUGUAAUUCAGUGCAUGAGAAGCACUAUGUGGUUAGUCUUAUUGGAGGGAACACAGGCACAGGCUUUAGUGACUUGUGAAUGAAUCAAUAAAGCAUGUUCCUGUAGGUUUCUAAAUUGUCUCUUUCAUUAAGAAUGGAAUUGGGCAGCAGAAGAUCGAUUUUUCAUGGCAAAUCAGAGGGAUUUUAUCAGACCUUCAUUUAGGCUGUGGAUUUUUGGAGUAAAAAAGCUUCAUCAAAAAUACUAUGCAGGAUUUGAACUGCUGCAAUGAUCAUAAAUAGUUUAAAUGUCCUUUUUCAGAACACUUUCUUGAACUCAGAAUUAUGUGAGACCUGGUCUUUAGCAGUCCCCACAGAUAACUAAAUGAGUGGAAAGCUGCUGAGCUCCCACAGCUGAGGAUCGUGGCUUAUGGAGCAGCAGAUGUGGUAUUGGUUAAAAGAUAUUUGGAAAGGGAAGCAUUCACACAGAAAUGUUACUGCUGCUAAGGUUAUACAUGUCUUUGUAUAUCACAAUUGCUUACAGCAGCUCUUGAUGAGUGAGUGUGACAUGAACUCUGCAGGAAAUGCAGUCAUCCUUUAGAAUCAUCUAAAAUAAUGAUUAUUGUACAGGUAUGGAACAGGCAGAGAGGUGUUUCAAAUCUACUGAUUUUUGUAUCAUCACCAUAGGGCUAUGAAGUUCUGAAGAAACUUACCUUUACAGAUGUGGUUCAUCUAAAUAUUCUUUUCCUGCAUGGCACAUACAAACUUACUCAAGUAUGGUAGUACACCUUGACAGUGUUCUUCUAGGACAGUAUAACUUGCUUGUAGAUAAUACAGUGUUCAUCUUGGAAUCUAUGCUUUUAGUACACAUAUAUGCCUUUCUAGCAUCCUGAACCAGUGUUAUUUUCAUGGAUAGACAAGGGCAGUGCUGCAUAUGCAUUUCUUAAUUUUUUAAUAGGCUCAUUAAGUAGAAAUUUGUAUUUCCAAAUCCUGAGGGAGCUGGAGAAACAUGGAUGAGGCACAGUGCUGAGCCUAGACAAAAAUUAGCUGAAUCUAAAUCAAGAGCAGCAUCAACAGUAAUACUUAGAAGCACAGAGCUUUAUUAAGAAUGGAUAAUUUGCCAGGCAUUACUUUCCACAUAGGCAGUGUUGUAAGAGGUUGUCUAUCAAUAGGUCACUACAUAUUCCAAAACAAGUUGAAGCCAAAUAAGUCAUCAUAAGAUGUGUCAUCACCUCUUAUAUAGAUUUAGCUUUAGCUUGCAUGUACAUACCUACAGAAGAUAAGUGUUUUCUAGCAAUUCUCUUGAGAGGCAGUUACAUUAAUUUUCUAGUAACUGCUAUGUAAGAAUUACAUGUAAAGGGUUUAUGAAUUAUUUAUUGUUUGGUGCAAACCUGAAUCUUGAUUCUGCCCUGUUGUUCCCUCUCUGGGAUACUUGCAUUGAGAUCCUUCUACAGUUUACUGUAGAAGCAUGUUUAUAUCUGAAGGGUGCUUAUAAGUGCUACACAUAAAGAAUUAAAAUGUUACAGCUCUGCUUAUGGUGCAGUGACAGAUGCUGGUGUUACAGUGCCUUAGUGGGUGGUUUCUAGUUCAAUUUUCUGUUACACAGCCAUAAUUUGUAAUACUGCUUUUGCAUUGUUGUGUUGCAAAUACAUCAGUCAGGGACUUAUUAAAGAUGGGUGAACUCUGCAGGAUCUAGAGGUCUGGGUGAGAUAACCAAAAUCUCUAGUAGUUUUUCAGAGCUUAAUGAGAGGUGGAGUUUUCUUUUCUGUCAGUGCUUUCAGGUGUAAAUCUUUCCCUUUGCAAUGAUGUAUCAAUUUUUGCAGGCUGCCUUAUCAUCCAGGAGUAGGAGACAGUGAGCUGAAGGUAUGUGCUUUCUGUACAGAGUAGAGCAUUCCUCAGUUGGGCUGAACAUCAGCAGAUGUUUCUGAGGAGUUUCCUAAGCUGGGUUUUAAUACUGUCUUUGAUGUCCAGAGGAGAACACAGCUUUAGCCAUGUAAAUUUCUCUGAAGCAAUUAGUAAUGUAAUAGCCAUAAUUAAGGGUCUGUCACACUAGAGAGACACAAGGAAUAAGAGAUUGAUCGUUAUUCAGCAUCAUGUUUACAGAAGAGGUUAUACAGCUCUCACUGGAGACAAACUGAUAGCUGUCACUCUGGGUGACUGUUUGUGUGCUCACUAAAGGUGAAUUGGUGUACAUUAUUUAUCUUGAUUUUUACAGGAUUCGUUGCAAAGAACACGAGAAACAGAAGACUUUAUUGUUUCUUACUCAUGAAAAGAAUCUCUUCAACUUGAUCUCUUCAAGUCAGUGAGUAGUUUAAAUGAGAGCAAUGAAACUGGUCCAUAGUGGAAGUUUUUUAAAAAGAGAGGUGAGUGGCAUUUUUCUUUCAAAAUUUGACUGUGGUUGCAUGGCAGGAAAUGGAAACUCUGGUAAACGGGUUGCCCAAAAAUUAGAACCACCCCUCAGAGGUGUGGGAAGGUGCUCUCUGUGUUAAACUAGUCAUCAUUUCCCUAUGAGAAUGUCCCAAAAUGGAAUGUAUUUGGGUCUGCUCAGGAAGAACAUAGGACAUAUCCUCCAUUCUGAACUUUGAUGAAUCCUGCAUGGUAAAAAGACUUGCCAAGGAUGUGACCAUAAGGACGCAAUUGCUUGUGCCUUUCUGAGUGGUAGAAUUGCUCGUGCCUUUGAUGAGUCCAGCGCAUGGUGGUUGUGGUGUACCAGCACCCUCAUGGGACCAAAAUAUGGGCUGCCAAAGCACUGUGUAGAGGGAACUACAAGUUAGUGGGUGGGAGUGACAGCCUGACAAGUUCAGUUGAGAAGUCAUGCUUUUAAGUGUGGGGUAAUAAAUGCUCGUGUAAAGCGCUGAGACGAUGGAUUUUCCAUUUACAGAAUAAAUUUGGAAGUAUUUCAGGAAGACGUGUUUUCAACAAAUAGGUGGCGUGGGGAUUGGUAUAGAAGUAACAGAGUAAAAGUCUCUUGUAGGAGAUCAGACCCCAGUGUCUGAUGGCCCUUUUAGAGCUUAACAACUUUUAAAUGUUAAACUGGAACCUCUCUAUAUUUGAAUAGCACUUCUCAGUGGACUGGUAAACAUCCCAAGUGGCAUUGAGGUUUCAAAUGGGAUUGUAAUUUUGAACAUAUGUUGCAUGCCCGAGGACAGUUGGCCUUAUAAUCCUCUUUUGUGUAAUGCAGAUAGCCAAAGAGUGGACCUGAGCAGUUAAAAAAAAGACAAAUGUGUUAUGGAUGAAAAGGAAAAGAGAGUCAGUGAAUAUUCACAGAAUCACAGAAUAUGCUGAGUUGGAAGGGACCCACAAGGAUCACUGACUCCAACUCCUGGCCCUGCACAGGACCAUCCCAAAGAGUCACAUCUGUGCCUGAGAGUAUCAUCCAAACACUCCUUGAGCUCUGUCAGCCUUGGUGCUGUGACUGCUUCCCUGGGCAGCCCGUUACAGUGCCCAGCCACUCUGAGGGUGAAAAACCUUUUUCUAACAUUCAACCUAAACCUCCCCUGACACAACUUCAGGCCAUUCCCUUGGGUCCUGUCACUGGUCCCCACAGAGAAGAGAUCAGUGCCUGCCCCUCUUCUUCCCCUCAUGAGAAAUUUAUCACUAAUUAGUGAUAAUCAUUGCUGUGGAGCGAUAGGGUGGGAUAGGAGCACAACCUUUACUGAAAUUCCUCAGGGUGAAAUAAUGCCAUUUCUGUCUGCAUAGAAGUAUUUGCCAAAGCUUGUCCUUUGGAUUGGUAUUUUGUUAAAACAGAACACCAGACCAGUAAUGUCGAACUAUGCUAUGUUAGUGUCCAUAGGCAGACAUUUAAGUCAGUUUGAAAAGAAAAAAAGACUUAUUUUGAUUUUCUGUGUAGAAAAAUACAUCAUUUCAGCUUAAGAGGUCAUGUUAAAGUAAAAUAUUUACCCAAACUAAAAUUCUUUUGCCAUUUCAGUUUGUGGAAACACGGAGCCCCUUAGGCAAUACAGUGUUUGAAGAUGGCUUUCAUAUGUGGAACUCUUGGUUACUUCCCAGCUCAGGUUCACAGGCUCUGAGCUGAACAAUUACGUCCUCACGACUUUCUAGAAAUGAACACGGGCAAAAUUGAGGUAUUGUGCUCUAAAGCUGAAAUCUUAAAAGUUUUCUUAACCCUAUAUCUGAUCCUGGAGGUCCUCCAGAAUCUGUGAGUUGGUACCUCAAAUCUUGGCCAGCAUAGCUCUUCCAGCACCUGAAAUGAUGCUUUUUCCCCUGAGACAUGCUGAAGUCUAGACAAUACCUUGACGUGUAACCUCAUAUUAGCCUGACUAUUUCCCAUAAUAUUAAUAAGCUUUAACACUUAUUUCUCCUAUGGUGAAGUGGUCACCUCCCAUGUGCUGGAACCGCCAACCAUAUGCCAAGGAGAUCAAGCUGUCAGAUUUGAGAAGAGCAUUGGGAGUAGUGCAUUGUGUCCAAUUCACUGUGCUUGCCUGCCUCUGGGAGAGCAGCUCAGCAGCAACAGUGGUUGUGCUCUGCUGUUCCUGGGUCCCGUUGCGCGGUGAGUAAUCUGGUGUGGAAUGGUUUCAGCAAAUGCACCAAAUGAGGACUCUGUUGUGACAACUGAUGGGAGAUUCUGCUUGGGUUUUGUACUCUCAGUGGUGCUGAGGGACUGAAGGAACCAGGGCAAAUCUGCAGUGCAGAGGGCAAAAAACCAACCUGAUGUGGCUGGCUGAAACUGCCACUGUGUUGUCCAGCUGUUUUAGAGGGUUCUCUGCCCUGGCCCUUCUUUUGGAGACAAGGUCCCUGUCCCAGAAGGAGGAGUGUUUCCUGGAGCUGUAAUGCAGUCCUGAGCAGCACAGCUGCCAGAUGGCCCUUGUUGCCAAGCAGACCUGCUUGCUGGGUCUCACAUGCUUUAAAGUCUUACCCUGGGUCUCAAAGGAAACAAGAGGGAGGAUGAUUUGACACACAUUCUCCUGAUUUGACAUACUGUAUGGUUACAACGUGGUGUGUCAUCCAGAAGAAAUCCAAAAUACAUGUUCAUGUACAGGCACAAAUCUGACUGUUCCCUGAUAAACUGUUCAUGUGGAAAGAUACAAUUUGCAUGGUUGUCAUCAAAGCCAGUGUAUGUAUUCAUUUGCAGAAGCAUGUCAGACACCAUAUGCCAGUAAUAUGCCUUUGAUAUGUUGGUGUCUGAAUCAUUUUUUUAACUGCUGAAUGGCAUAUGUUUAAAUGUAAACAUCUGUUCUCUGUUUGUACUGUCGGUGUUUUUUAUUUCUAUAUUUUCUUUUGACUAAGAGUUGGAUUCAAACCCAGAAAAAAUGUGGGAUUCAUCGUGUUUUUUAAAGAAAGACAGUUUUUUUAGUAUUUCAGUGUUGGCCAUUGUGUAUGUUCUCAUAGAUGAGAAGGGUAUUUAAAAGAGAAUUUUUUCCCUUUCGGUAACCAAAACUAACUCAAUUUCCAGGCAAAAUAAGAAUUUUGACUAGAAGUGUCUUGAAUAAAAAAUUAUUGUUUUAGUGUUGGGCAGGUUCUGCAACGUAUGGAUUUACUGAAAAGCAGCCCAAUGUUACACCAUGACAUUAAAUUAUUUUUAUCCAGAAACUUUUCUGAUGCAGUUAAAGAACUUGCAGUGUAAUAAAUGACUUAAUAAAGGAAUGAAAUAAUA